AACCGAGAACUCCUACGGGAGGCAGCAGUGGGGAAUAUUGGACAAUGGGGGGAACCCUGAUCCAGCCAUGCCGCGUGUGUGAAGAAGGCCUUUUGGUUGUAAAGCACUUUAAGCGAGGAGGAGGCUCUUCUAGUUAAUACCUAGGAUGAGUGGACGUUACUCGCAGAAUAAGCACCGGCUAACUCUGUGCCAGCAGCCGCGGUAAUACAGAGGGUGCAAGCGUUAAUCGGAUUUACUGGGCGUAAAGCGUGCGUAGGUGGCCAAUUAAGUCAAAUGUGAAAUCCCCGAGCUUAACUUGGGAAUUGCAUUCGAUACUGGUUGGCUAGAGUAUGGGAGAGGAUGGUAGAAUUCCAGGUGUAGCGGUGAAAUGCGUAGAGAUCUGGAGGAAUACCGAUGGCGAAGGCAGCCAUCUGGCCUAAUACUGACACUGAGGUACGAAAGCAUGGGGAGCAAACAGGAUUAGAAACCCUAGUAGUCCGACUGAGA
Molecule: ribosomal RNA, 486 nt
Filed under: uncultured bacterium
Lineage: Bacteria
Description: bacterial SSU rRNA
Rfam family: Bacterial small subunit ribosomal RNA
Source: RNAcentral